UGAGGGCCGGCCGGUAGCGGAAGCCGUGUUCGCCACUCAAAGCUCUUCCAGCUGGUCACUCCAGCCUCCUGGGACUUUGCCUCACCUGAUCGCCGAGCUCCUGGCCGGGGGUGUCUGGGGAUGCCGCUCGGCCGCUUUCUGCGAGGAGCUUAACCCGCCCCGCUGCCGCCCGGAUGGGACCGCCGGAGUGCGGCUGAAGUCUCCAGUGAAUAUUGAAUUGCUGAGAAAUUUGGGGAAAGACCAGCUGAAGUUCCCAUUCCAUGGAUCCCUUGGGUGCCCCUUCCCAGUUUGUGGAUGUGGAUACGCUACCCAGCUGGGGCGACUCAUGUGAAGAUGAAUUAAAUACUUCCGAUACUGCAGCUGAAACAUUGCAAGAAAAUACUGUUAGAUCACCUUUUCUUUACAACAAGGAUAUCAGCGGGAAAGUGAUUCUUUGGAAAGGAGACGUGGCAUUACUGAACUGUACGGCCAUUGUGAAUACCAGCAAUGAAAGUCUUACAGAUAAGAACCCUGUGUCAGAGAGUAUCUUCAUGCUCGCAGGACCCGAUUUGAAGGAGGACCUCCAGAAACUUAAGGGUUGCCGGACAGGUGAAGCAAAAUUGACAAAAGGAUUUAAUCUAGCUGCCCGGUUCAUCAUUCACACAGUGGGACCUAAGUACAAGAGCCGCUAUCGCACCGCUGCUGAGAGCUCCCUGUACAGCUGCUACAGAAACGUGCUUCAGCUGGCAAAAGAGCAGUCAAUGUCCUCUGUGGGAUUCUGUGUCAUCAAUUCUGCAAAACGAGGUUAUCCUUUAGAGGAUGCAACACACAUAGCACUUCGCACUGUAAGGAGAUUCCUGGAGAUUCAUGGGGAGACCAUUGAAAAAGUAGUAUUUGCGGUCUCUGAACUUGAAGAGGCUACUUACCAAAAGCUGCUACCUCUGUACUUCCCAAGGUCAUUAAAGGAGGAAUGUCGAUCAUUGCCAUACCUACCUGCAGAUAUUGGAAAUGCAGAAGGGGAGCCUGUGGUACCUGAACGACAGAUUAGGAUAAGUGAAAAACCUGGUGCCCCGGAGGACAACCAAGAAGAGGAGGCUGAAGGCUUGGGAGUAGAUCUCUCUUUCAUCGGCUCUCAUGCUUUUGCUCGAAUGGAAGGAGAUAUUGAUAAGCAGAGAAGACUGAUCCUUCAGGGCCAGUUAUCAGAGGCAGCCCUGCAGAAGCAGCAUCAGAGAAAGUGUCUUCUAAAGCAAUUCCGAAUAAGUCCUUUUUCAAGCAUAAAGAAAAGCAGCUUAUGUGCUUCUGGUUAUAAUCGCUGGUUGUGUCAAGCAAGAUCUGAGGAUCUAUCUGAUAUUGCUUCUCUAAAAGCCUUAUACCAAACAGGUGUUGAUAACUGUGGGCGCACAGUGAUGGUGGUAGUUGGAAGAAACAUUCCUGUCACAUUAAUAGAUAUGGACAAGGCUCUCUUGUAUUUCAUCCAUGUAAUGGAUCACAUUGCUGUGAAGGAAUAUGUAUUAGUAUAUUUUCACACACUGACCAGUGAAUACAAUCACCUGGACUCUGACUUCCUGAAGAAACUCUACGAUGUUGUUGAUGUCAAAUACAAGAGGAAUUUGAAGGCUGUUUAUUUUGUUCAUCCAACAUUUCGUUCAAAGGUAUCAACAUGGUUUUUUACCACCUUUUCUGUCUCAGGACUGAAGGACAAAAUCCACCAUGUGGACAGCCUCCACCAGCUAUUUUCUGCCAUAUCACCAGAACAGAUUGAUUUUCCACCUUUUGUCCUUGAAUAUGAUGCCAGGGAAAAUGGGCCUUACUAUACAUCUUAUCCCCCAUCACCAGAUUUGUGACCUGCCAUCUUUUAGCACUACUGGUUUCCAGGGACGUCACUUUCUCCACGAAUUGCUACCUAUUGAAGUGAUAUUCAUUUUUGCUCUUCAGAUCCAGAGAGCCUUUUGUCCCCACCUCUCUGGUAUUUUUUUAUUGACUGUAUAUUUUCUGGCACAUAAGCAUUCUGAAAAUGUUGCACUUGCUCAGCCAAGUUCCCUGGGAGGACCAGAGUUCAAGAAUUAGCAGCAGAGUUAUCAGUCAACUUAAAGUUAGGUAAGUGAAUGCACAGUUCACAGUUCACAGCGGACAUGCUGCACAGUUGUUUUCUUUGUAAAACACUUAGUAUAAGACCAGAACUAUGAGGUGCUAUCAUUUCCUUGUUGAAUCCAUCCUGUUUCUAUGGAAAAUGUUGUCUUAGUAAAGUCGGGUUGGAGCCUCACGUACCCCCAUGGGAGUUACACAAGGAGUGAGAAAAAGGCAAGAACCCCAUUUUUUUUUUUUUUUUUUUUAGUUUUUAGUGGAGUGGCAUAGGGUAAGACUACUCUGCAUCUAGGGCUUUUUGUUUGUCUUGUUUUUAUGUUUAUAUAAUUUAUUGUGACAUGUAUCAAAAUCAAGUUGUAAAUAUAAUACCAUCCUAUAUAAUAUAGAUAUAAUCUUAUGGAUAUAAAAGCUCUUGUGACUAUACCUAUUUCUAUUCUAGUUUUAUGGAGUAUAUCCUUUAUUGGUAUGUGCAUUUUUUAAUUUUCUCUUUACUUUUUUUGGCAUCUUUAUUGAAAUGUAAUUCACAUAUCAUAAAAUUCAUCCAUUUAAAAUGUAUACUUCCGUGGUUGUUAGUAUGCUCAGUGUUAUACAGCCAUCACCACCAUCUACUUUUAGAACAUUUUAACACCCUAAAUGGAAGCCCCAUACCCAUUAAGAGUCAUUCUCCAUUCCCACUCCCCUCCACCCUUCCUCCUGCGUUGUUUGGACUUUACUCCUCCCUCUAAGACACAACUCCAUGUUGCACGAUUGGUAGAAGAGUGUCUCAAUAAGUAUCUAUUGAAUGAAUUAAUACCCACAUAGGUCCCUAGCCAUAGCAACUGAGGAGUAAUUGAAAGGGCAGUGGAAUCAGUGUCAAAAGACUAGAUUCCGAUCCUGACUGAUGCUUAACAGGAGUGCUGUUGUGGCUAUGGAGUCACUUAGCCGUACUAAGCCUCAGUUUUCAUACCUAUAAAACAUUGAUAGCAGUGUCUACUUCACAAGAUGGUUGUGAGAAUCACCCGAGAAGAUAUGGUCACAACACUUGGCGCAGUGCCUGGCCCACACUAAGAAAGUCACUGACAUUUGUUCUUGGUAAAAGAGAAACCCCUAUGUUGGUGACCGGGGGAAAUGCCUGCUACCAGAUUGGACAUUAGAGAAAUCUGGCAGCAGGCAUUUGCCCUGGUCGCCAACCUAGGGGUUCCAAGUAGUGGCAUAGCUCCUUCUUAUUGCCAUUCUUCCCAGUUUCCUUCCUCACGAGAGAGAAUUCUAAAGUACAACUUCCAGCUGUUCACUCUCCCUUGACCUCCCAACUGCGGCCUCUCCCGUUUCCUCUCCAGCACGAUCGCUGCGUCCUCCUCACGUGUGGUGUUGAUUCUCAUGUAGUAGCUACUCCAUAAGCUACUUUGUACAGAAGCGAGCGUGUCCAAUGUCAAUGCCUAAUUUAGGCAACUGAUAGCCUGGGACUGAUUGCCAGGCCUUUCAGGGACAAGGGGACGUAUUUAACUCUACUUUUCUCUCAUAGCCACCACCUCCCCCUGCCUCUCGAGUUGCCUUAGCAGAUUUGCUAUACAUGCAUCUUACAAAAACAUCCCGACACAGUAGUAAUGAAAUAAUAGCAGCUGUCAUUUACAGGAUACCAGACAUUGCGAAUAUAUUAUCCCUAACUCUUAAAAUAAACUUGCAGGUUAGAUUGUUUCCCCCAUUUUACAGAAGAAAAAAAAGAGAAGAAACGGGGAGCACUAAAGAAACUGCCCAUCAGGUAAUUUUAGGGAAUACGUUUUGGAAAGGCAGAGAAGAUUGGGUAAAUCUGUCUAUACAGAGUGUCUUCCUUAAGCUAUCAGGCUGUCCAUUGUAUGGCAUUUGGUCUGGUAUAUAGAAGCAUAGACCUCAAUUCAAAUCCCAGCUCAGCCGUUUACUGGCUGUGUGACCCAGACAUGUCUCCCAACCUCUUUGAAUUCAGCCCUCUUAUAUGUAAAGAGUGCUUACCUCUUAGAGUUAUUCUGAGGAUCAAAUGACUUAAUACUUCCAAAAGUCUCAUAAACACUAGCUGGUGUCUCAUUUAAGUAUUCUAAUUGCUGUGAUCAAAAGUGUCUCACUUUCCAGACUUAAUCUUGGCUCUCUAAUCUUAAAUUAUGUCACAUUCCCAGUUCAGAAGAUGAUGAUGUAUUUGGUAUGUCUUUCCUUCAAGAGAAAAUGACAUUUUAAGUCAGGAGUUGGCAAACUUUUUUGGUCAAGGGCCAUAUCAUAAAUAUUUUAGGCUUUUCAGGCCAUAUGGUCUCUGUCACAACCAUUCAGCUCUGCCACUAUAGCAUGAGAGCAGCCACGGACAGUACUUGAGCAAAUGGGUGUGCCUGUGUUCAAUAAGACUUUAUGGAGACUGGAAUGUAAAGUUCAACUAACUUUUCAAGUAUAACAAAAUAAUAUUUUUCUUUGUUUUCAACCGUGUAAAACUAUAAAAGUACACUCAGCUUGAGGGCCAUGUGAAAAUAGGCAGCGGGCCACCGUUUGCCAACCCCCGUUUUAAAUAAUUCAGUGUUUCUCUAAAACUGAUGAAUCCAGUAGAGGCCUAAUUAAGAAAAAGCAAUUUGGAGAAAGAAAAAAUCAAGAGCCAGUCAGUGUAUCAACUAGCUAGCCCAGAUCAGAGCUAUGUAUCGAUCACUCCCUUGCCUAACACAAUUCAUGCAACCCCUUUGAGCUUAACCUUUGUAUCUACAAAAAUGAAGAUAGCGCUACCUCUCUGACCUACGCCUACUUCCUCCGGGCGAUGGGCGAUGGGAGUUUUAUAAUAAUGAUUAUUUAUUGUAUUUAUACCUUUGUACAAGAUAUUUGACUCAUUUUUGUUCUUAUCCUCUUAUUCCUACUUUACAGAUGAAGCAGGGAGGCUCAGAGAAGCAAAAAACUUGCCCAGGGUUCUAAACCCCAUAAGCCUGCCCAACCCACUCAGUAGAAUACAGACUGCAUGGGAAUAGGGAGCUCAUUGGACUCAUUACGUGUUAUAUGCCCAGUGCCUAGCCUAGUACCUGGUAUAUAACGGACAUUGCGUAAAUGCUUGUGCAAUGAAUGAAUGAACGAACAGACGAAUGAAUGAAUGAAUUUUCCCUUAUGUCAGUGGUUCUUCAUCUUUUCUUAGGUCAGGGACACCUCUGAGAAACUAUUUUAAAGGUCUGGAUCAUCUCUCCAGAUAUAUAUCAAACUAAGAAACCUUACAUUAAGUAUUUGGCCCACUAUUGAAAGAAGAUGUUUAUGUGUUCUGAAUAAUGUUGAUCACAGUUCUUUUCAUAAGCAUGGAAACAGGAUUUGGAGAUGUCUUAUUUCUUUCCUUUUCUUGAAAUAAUUAUAUCAAGGGCACUAAACAUUAAGGCCUAACAUGUUUUCUGUAGUCACUCAUGGCUCCCAGGCAUAUUUCUCAAAACUUGAUUCCCUUAAAAGUCACUUUCUCAAAAAUUACCACUUAAAAAAUGACAUUUAUUGGUCCCAAGUGCUUCAACAGGAAAAGUGAGAAACCACAGCCUGUUAGGACUAACAUGCAAUUUUUUGCCUUCAGAAAUACAGUUGUGAGGGUAACAUUCACAGCUCACUGCUCAGAAGCCACUGGGAUCUGCGUCCAGCGUGUUACUCAGGAUUGGCCUUCUGCUGCUUCUCCUUCUUGUCAUUUACUUACCACAUCGCAUUCCAUACCAUGGUCUCCUGUUAAGGAGAGAGAGGGUUAUUAGUAUUCAGACAUUAAAUUCAGAUGUUACUGAUUUUUAUUUUCUCCUCUAAAGCAUCUGCCGUUUACAUACUCUCAUCAUUUACAUCAGAACCUUUAGGUCAUGACUCAUUUCAGGUAAACUGUGAGAUUAAGGGUAUUUUGUUUUCACGGAGUGCUAUAAAAACAAAGUCUGUUGCUGACGGAGACUUAAAAAAGAACAUUCAGGUACUGCAUUCACUUGCUCCUCCCUUUGCACUCCCUUUACUGCACCCCCCCCCCCCACCAGCCCUUGACCACCCCCCCUCCCCCCGAAAGAAGUUGCUUUCUAAAACAUGAGUAUUACUGUGUUUCUGGGAUAAGUCACUCUAUUCACGCUUUGGUCAUGGUGUGCCAUUUAAUAUUCCCCAUGGCACUUACCGCCAGGGCUCAUAUUCAACCACAUCAAUUGUUAAAAGUACCAAAAUAGCUGCCAUCCUGAGCCCUGCAGGUGGCCUUUACUACCCCCAUCCUUCCCCCAGGUUCCCUGGAUCUCCACACAAUCCUAGCAACUAAAGGGUUAAUACCACCUGCCCUUCCAGCACCCUAUGCCAAGACUAUGGCUAGCACCUCUUCUGAUUGGUCAGUGCCACAUUUAUUAAAUACUACAUUUAUUGCCAUAUUCAUAUAUAUCUAUAUCAAUAUAUAGGUCAUAUAUAUAUGAAUAUAUAUAUGUAUAUAUGAAUAACUAGGGACAUAGACUUUCUGUUUUGUUCAUUGCAGUGUUCUCAAUAUCUCCUUGAACAGUCGCUGACAUGUAGUAGGUUUUUAAAUAAUUGCUGAAAGCAAAAUGUAUUUAUGCUUAUGGUAUCCAAGAAGUAAGAUCUGAAGCAGGAGAAUCACUUGGUCAAUCAGGAUUUGGGAACUACUUGAUGAGUCCUAGGAGCAGGAAAGCCAUAAAAAUUAAGAGGAUCCCCAUAUAAUACAUUUUUUAUGGAUAGCCAAAUUUUCUUUCCUUUGGUUAGCAACUUUGCUUCACAACAUUUACUCUGAAUAAUUUGCUUCCCUCCCCCCCGGGGAAGGGCUGUUAAGUGAGGAUUGGGUUUCAGGUCCCAAAUUGCCUCAUUAAUGACCAAAUACUAGACCUGGAGGUAGAAGCUGAUUUUCUACCAAGCCAACAAGAUGUGGAAACCUGUGGGAAGGCUCUGAGGUGAUGAGACAGCCUUGCAGAGGAGUUUUGUGCAGUCUUCUAGGAUGGUGGAGACUGAGUCACCCAUAAAACGAGCCAGAAAGCCUAAGUGGCCAGAGCCGUUCCUGUCCUUCCCGACAGCUGGGCCUUCACACACACACACACACACACACACACACACACACACACACGCAGAGAGAGUGGGCACUGAUGAAUGCUUAAUACCUACCCCUGGAGCUACCCUCAGGUAAAGUUACCCCACACGAACCUGGGCACCGUCGUCAACAUGCCUCUCUUGCCAGGCUAGGUAGACAUACAAGAGAUGCUUGUGUCACAUCACCUCGGCAGAGUCCAAACAAUUCGGUGUGGUGCAUUCUUACGAAUUCCCUAACACUUCCUGCCUUUCCUUAAUAUCCACCUGUGAAUGUCUCUGAACUUCGGAAGCUAUUCCAAGCCUAUGCCAUCCAUUAUUUUUUUAUUUUUACUCUGUGAGAUACAAUCUUACAUGUGUUCCAGAUUUGUCUUUUUCAGUGUUCAAGGACUACCUGCUAAACCUGGCAUUUUAUAACUUGGUGAUUAUUUAGUUCCGCGCUCACCUCCCUAAUGCCUCCUGUCUUCAUGUAAUCAUCCCCAGAUGAAUGUAGCUCUUCAAGAGGCCCCGUGUGCUUGGGGGACCUGCCAGGCACCCGGAUGCUAACCGUAAACUACCUCUUGGGUCCAUUACUCUUCUCCAUCACACCAAAGAGGUGCUCUAUUUUCUCCCUCAUGACAGCAAAAUGAUUGAGGUGAAACCAGAUGGCACUCUGCCUCCUCGUUUCAGCUCCCAUGCCAUAAACAAGUCUCCUGGUUUUGGUUCAUUUAGUGCCAGGUGUUUUGCAUUUUUGUUCUCUGUUGAUUUCUCUGUUUAAAAUGGCUCCCAGUGCAGCACUCGAGUGCUGUCUGGUAUUCCUAAACGCAGGAAGGCUGUGAUGUUCCUUAGGGAAGAAAUAAAUGGGCUAGAUGAGCUCCGUUCAGGCAUGAGUUGUACGGUGCCGUUGGCCACAAGUGUUAGUGAGUCAACCAUAUAAGGGAUCUUUAAACAGGAACAUACAGAAAACAAAGUUACGGAUUGAUUGGUUGGUGAAAAAUGUUUUGACCAGAGGCUCAGUGAGUGGAACCUCGUAUUUCUCCUAGCAGCAGUGUUUCAGGAUUCACUGAUUUAGUGUCCCAGCACCUUUAUAAAACGUAACUACCACAAACAAUAAGAAUCAGUUGCAGUUGUGAGCAACUGAAUCCACUAUAUUUGUUCUACUAAACAGUUACUAGACACAAGUUUACUUACUACCUACUCAGAAAAUCCUUGUUAAGCAGCUACCAUGCACUGGGCUGUAGGAACACAGGCUUGCACAAGAGGGUCAGAGUCCUUAACUUCAUGCAUCUUCUAGCCUGGUGGGGACAUUUGUAAACAUGCAAGACAAGUGUGAAUCUGAUGUUAACGACCAGUUCUGUCACAACAAGGGAUAGACAAAAUCCUUGGCCAGGGGGGACUAGGCAGAUGUCUGUUCGUCAGUUCUUGCCCACCUAUCCUGUCAGUCCUCCUAUCUGUAUUAAAAUGUACUCACCUACCUGAAAGUUCCUCUUCACUCACUCCAGCAUCCAGGGAGAACCUUGAUAGGCGACAAGUUAAUAGGUCCUUCCCCACUUACAAGAGAGCUCUGGGGAAAGCCUAGUCCAAGUGUUGCAAAGAGGUUAUGUUUGGACAUUAACUGAUCACAGAUGCUUGCAUCACUGUAAUGAGAAUGACCAGGGCGCCCUCCUGGGCUGAGCAGGGAAAAGUUCUGGAAUCUAAUAGUAAUAACUGGUGUAUUUUGUAUUUGCCUAACUCCCCAUGGCUGCCCUAUAUCUGAUAUUGGAAUGUCUGGAAGCACACAGGGUCAUUGAUCCACUUACUGUAUGGUAAUAAAUACACAGACUUUCUGCUUAAUCAGGGCUAGACUGUGAUUCUAAACCCUCUUGCUGUGCACUUCAUGGUUUUCCAUAUGAUUCUAAGAAUCUGCCUCAUCCAAAGUGUCCUGGGUCACACUCCACAGUCUCUCUUUAAAUACUGACAUCUGCCCUUUGAACUUGUCUGGGGACCACGUGCCCAUCCUCAGAAAGGGAACCACCAACUCCCUGCUUGUAUUUGUGAUGGCUCAGUCCCUGCCAGCCUCUCCCUCUUCCAGCAGAAUGUCAUCAGGAGGCUAAUACAUGAUUUAUGAGAGCCUCGUGCUCAUCUAGAUCCUUUCUCAGCAUGCCGGUCUGUAUCAGCCGUCUGCUUGUGUGAUCCAGGAUCGUGUGGGACCCCUCCAGUCCGCUAGAGACAGGUGACCUUAUUGCCCAGCAACAAAUUUCAGAGACUUCUUUGCCACUGAGUAGUUGCUCUGAUUUCAAGUUUUAACAUUCAGAAUCUUCAGAAAAGAUGCAGAAUCUUCAGCUAUAUUUCUAUUGCUACAGACAUUUCUCUCGCUAUUUGCUUCUUGGGAAAUCCUUGCAGUAAUCAGAUUGCCCAAUGUUAGACAAUUCUUCAAACAUAGCUUUGGAUGCAGCCUGCUGUGUAAUACUCCCUUUGCAUUUUUGCAGUGAGAAAAGGAGUUUUAUUAACCCUCCAGGUAGGUUUUGGUGAAAGACAGAAACUUUGCAUCUAGAGGGUGCGCUGUGCAGUGUCUGUUUUGAACACCACACUAUUCACUGUGCUGAGCACGAUACCUGUACUAUUUAUUUUUAAUAAAUAUUUGGGCUAACUGCUCUCUUGGAUUCUCACAUUAAUUGGAAGCCCUGCCCUUUAUAGUUACUUCUGAACAUGACAUUAUAAAUAUGUACUUCUUGACUACACUACAUUUUAAAAAUAGCUUACUUACUGCUGAGCUAUGAGCAGUAUUUAACUGACACCCAUUUUUAUUUUUUUGCUUGUUUUUGUUGUUUUUUACUUUAUAUUGUAAUAUUACUAUGAAAAACAAGUAGGCAUGUAUCUAUAAAGCCAUGCAUUACAACCAGGGGGUAGAGAAGGUAGGAAGAAGAGGCAGGAAAAUCAGUCUUGCCUUGUUUACAUAUCUAAAUAGCUAAAUGACUUUCGGUGUAGAAUGAGUUAUCUGCAAAGAAGGUAUAAAAGACGGAUAUAUGUUCAUCAAAAAUGCAUUCUUUAGCAAAGGAGAGUGUGUGUUCCAUUGUAGAAAGAAAGGCUUAAUAGUGUGCUGUGUUUUAAGGGUUGAAGAUUCUUUUUCCUGCUUUCCUCGUUCAUUGCACUUAACUUGUUAGAGUGUUGGCAGAAGGAACACAGGGCUCUGGAAUUACAAGACCUGUGUUUGAAACUUAGCUUCUCCAUUUUCUUACCUACCUGGCCUUUAUCUCUAGACCUUAUUCUUGCCUUAUAAUUAUACUGCAUCACCUCAAAACGUAGCUGAAGGUAAAUUAGAAACUAGAAAGCGCAAUAUCCGACUAGAAAAGUAGCAUCGUCACAUCCUUUGUAAAUAAGAUCAACCCCCUGACUCUGGAUAUUGUCAGAAUUCACCAGAAUUACAUCUUUUAUGAAAGGCUUCUGCUCACCCAAGUCUAAUGUAAUAAAUGCAAGGACUUUGCCAAGGCAAAUUCCUGAAAAGAACACAGUGCAACAGAAGCAGUUCACAAAGUCCUGUGAGUUUUGGUCAAUGAUUACAUCCUGUUGCAGUGUUAGCAAGGGUUGGCAACCAACCUGGAGAUAGAGAAAAGAAGUGACGAAAAUGUCAAGAUUCCUCAAGCAGAUAUGUCACGGAAUGAAUUAGAGUAGACUAGGACAUUGUGUUCAGCGAUAAGGGCCAGGAGGUUUGGCCAUGUCCUUACCAAAUUAUUACUGUCCUGUUUGAAGAAUCUCACUUUGCCGUGAAGUGUUGAAAACAAAUGCAUUCCAGCAGAGAGUUGUCAGUCCUGCCCUUUAUUCUGGAUGACCUACGGACAGGAAUAGCAUACUGUACUUUCUUGUCUUAUAGUUUUAACCCUUCCUGUUUUUCAAACAAACAUUUAGGACUUGUGGUAUGACAGUUGCAAAGUGAUCGUUUGAGGGGAUGAGCUUUAUUUGAAUUUGCAGCUAUUCCAGAGAGACUGCACGGUAAUCGUGUCCUUGUUCGGUCAUGGUUUCAGUGAAGUGUGACCUUGUAGAGAUUUUUCCAGAGGGAAUCAGAUCUGAGAGUAUGUUGAACUCAACCAAAUUUUGCAACAUGUCUAAGAACAUUCCUUUGGGCACUCCUGAGUUGGAUUUUUAACUCCCUUAGCUUCAGGUGGGAGGAAGGCACACAGGAAUAGAAAAGGUAUGUUCUCCAUGUUUUCCCCCGGAAAUUUGUUUGCCAGAAGUCUCCUGAGUCCAGCCCACUAACUCCAUGGUUCCCCAGCACGUUCUCCCACUGGGUGAACCAAGAGGCUCCGUACUCUUCUCUCAACCUCUUACCAGAGAAACUGAUCUUCUGACCCAGGUUAUCAGGCUUUGACCUUUGGCACAUUUGUCCUGGUGUCCUUAUACAGAUAAGCACACUUGAAAAAUGGGCUAGGUGAGAAAGAAAAGAAAAACUGGUACCAAUGAAGCGACCAAAGGAAAAAUGGGAAAGGAGCUACCAGGAAGUUGAAGAAGGGAAAUGGAAAUGGAUAAUGAGGUGGUGGGGGAAGAGUUUUCUUGAAGAACAUGCUGUAUCAGAGGGUCACUAUGACCAGCUCAAAGAAAAAAUUCUGACAGAACUUCUCUCUUUCUUCCCAGGGGUCUCUGAUCAUAGAUCACACACCAGUGAGUCUGGGAGAAGAAGUGGAGGUAAAAGGUCAGGUUUCUGAGCAUCCUAAAUUCUGCCUCACAGUCCUUUACGGAAACUAUGUUCCUGCCUUGCAUAUUUAAAGCCAUCAGUAGGCAGUGAUAACCUCAGAGAGAGGCUGAAGUAGUGUGGAGGUAAAUUGUAAUAACUAGUAUUUAUAAUCCUUUACCACAGGCCAGGCAGUAUUCUAAAUAUACGAACACAUUGGAUUCUCCCAACAAUCCUGGGAGGCUAGAACCUUUGUUAUCCCCACUCUACAGAUGAGGAAACUGAGGCACAAUUAGAGUCAUAUUAGUGGCAGGGCCAGGAUUUGAACCUGGUGUUAAAGUAUCCAGGCCUCCAGUUUGCCAACUAAUAGUGGCAGGCAGUUACUUUCUUAAGGAUACCUGUGAAUUGGUGGUGGGAUCAAUGGGAAUUCAGACUCUUAGGCUCCCCACACAGCUUUGUGAACCCCACAACUGGCACCAGUGUUAAAGUCUGUCGAACACUGUUGAAGUAUUUAAUGUUGAGCUUUAUACAAAGUAACCAAGAAUGUGCUAGCAACUAAAUGAGAAUAUAUAUUUGAUCUUAGAACUGAGUAUUUUGUCCUGUCAUUUAACAUUUAUUUGCCCUUUGUAUGACAAGAUUUGUCUUGGCAACCACCCAUAUAACUGCAUGUCCCAGUAUGACAAGAAAUGGGCAUUCUCCUGUGGUAACUUGGAACAGAAUGUUCCUGAUAUGGAGAGACUAGGUUCCAGGGUUAAAUGUAUAGUUACAGUCAGAAAAAAAACAGAUAUUUGGUACACCAGGACUCUAGGGUUACUCAUUUGUUCUCUUUGGACAACUUCCAGAUGUGCUUUGGCCAAAUUAAUCAGAAAGAUGAUUUUCUCUUCAUCUCUGCCCCAUUCCCUGUAUUAGAGACCGGAACCUUAGCUACACAAAUUCAUGUUGGACGUAGGACUCAAGCUGAGCUGCAAAACAUACUUGUUUCCAUUGUUUCCACUAUCUUUAGUUUUUUCAGCAUGAAUUUCCAUGCUGCAUGUGAAGAACAAGCCUUUCAUUCAGACCUCAAGGUUCCAACAAUAGGGCCCCAGCCCAUUUUUACAGCCUCGUCUUUUCCCACUACUUUCCUUCACCUCCAACACAUUGGGCUGACUCCUGGCAGAGUUUCUGCAGCUCUGAACUUCUACUGUUCCUCUGAGUAUCCUUUAAGCCCUGUCAUAAACCCUAUCCUCCAGGAAACCUCCACCAGUUCUCCUAACUUCAUUGAUCUCCCCCACCCUGAACUUGAUCCCUAUUUGAAGGCCCUUACUGUUAACCUCCCUGGUAAAAGGAUCCUUUGUGUUCCUGUCCCGUGCCCCAUGUUCCUCCGGUGGAGGAGUGUGUGGCUUACAAUACCUUUCUUAAACAGCCUCACUCUGCUUUGUGCCUUGCCUGAUGUGUAUGUACAUUGUGAGGGGACAUGUCAUCGAUAUCCAAUGUUAACCAGAGAAGGAAUCUUACAGAUUCACUUGUAUCACCUUUUCAUUUUAUAGAUGAGAAAAAGAGGUGUGCAAAGGUCAACCACCCAAGGUCAUUAGUGACAUGGUGGCAGAGCCAGGCCUCUUGGCUCCCUGUACAUUACCAUCCUUCUAAAAUGUGGAGGGUCACAUGAUGUCAAGGGAGAAUAUUUGGGGGGUUGUGAAAUUGUAUGGACUGUUUAUAUCCUGAUGGGAAUAAUAGAGCAGAGAGGGGAAAUUGAUGAUAAAAUUAUUGCAGGGGGGAAAUUGUUGAGUAUGUGAGAGGGGAUAGAAUCUGGUGCAGGACUUCGAAAAUAUCCUGGACACUUUACCCAUUGCGACAGUAGGGGACACUGAGUAUGUGGGUGUAGUUGUAGGUAUAUUGGUAGAUAAUCAAGAGAAUGUGGACAUUUUUUCUUGAACUCUCCUGUUUUUUUCUUUUGAUUAAGAGAUAGGGUUUUUAGCUGAAAAUGAGGAAGAGGGAAAAGGUUUUAGAGGUUUGAAAUGAGAAGAGAGAAAAGUUGUCUGGGGAGUGGAAAAAGGAAUCAAUGAAGGAAUUCUAGCAUGAUUGUGGUCAGCACUUACCACUUGAGGUUUGUGGUCAAGCAGUGUUUUCCAGGCUUUUGGCCCUCUGGACAUUUAGCAUCUCUGGCCCUUAGUAAUACCCCUCACUGAUUGUGAUGAUCAAAGGAACUCCCAAUCACAUUUCCAAACGCCCCCUAGGGGACUGAUCUAUUCCUAAUUGAGAAAAACUAGGACACCAGUCACAAAGAAGCAUGCUUUUCUGUAGUCACAUUCACCUGCCGGCAGGAAGUAGGCAGAAAUCUGAAUUUAGGACUCUUGGGGUUUGACAGUCAAGAACAUGGGCAGGAGAAGAGGGGGAGGGGGAUUGAGGGUAUAUGUAAUGGAGUGAUUGUAACAGUCAGAUUUUCUGAGUGACAGAAGGCCCGCGGCUGGCUCAAAGCAACUCAGGAACACCCCAGUGGUGGAGGAUUUCUGGCGACCAUUCAGGGGCUUUUGGAUAUGUGUCCAAUUUCUGGCUAUUACAAGUAAAGUGUUAUGAACAUUCUGGUACAUAUGUUUGGGUGGACGUAUACAUUCGUUUCUCUUGGGAAUAUAGCCAGAGUGGGCUUGAUGGGUCAUAGGGAACAUGUUCAUUUAGCUCUAUUAAAAACUGCUGCUCAUCUGUUUAAAGGUUACAGGUACCCCUACCUAUGAUUCAGUCAUUCCAUUUAUCCAAGAGAAAACAAGGCAUAUGUCCACACAAAGACCUGUACAUUAGUGUUCAGGGCUGCUUUAUUUGUAAUAGUAGAGAACUGGAAACAGCACAGCUGUCCAUCAAUAGGUGCAUAGAUCAACAAAUGGGGUACAGCUGUACAAUGGAAUACUACUCAGCAAUAAAAAAACAAUAGCUAAGUCAACAUGGAUGAAUUCUAAAAUCAAUAUGUGAGUAAAAGAACUGGGUACAAAAAUACCUACUCUGUGAUUCCAUGAAUAUAAAAUCCUAGAGAAGACAAACUGAUCCAUAGUGAUAGAAAGCAGAUCAGCGGUUGCCUAAGUAUCAAGUGGUGGGGAAUAGAGAGAAGGAAUGGGUUCCAAAAAGCACUAGGAAAUUUCUGGGGGUGGUGGACAUGUUUAUUUUCUUGACUGUGGCAAUUGCUUCAUGGGUACAUACAUAUGUACAACUCACCAAGUUAUACACGACAAAAAUAUGCAAUUUAUUGUAUAUGAAUUACACCUCAGAGCUACUAAAAAAAAAUUAACCUACCGAAUGGUUUUCCAAAGCGGUUGAACCAAUCUGUACUCCAUCAGCAGCGUGUGAGAAUUCUAGUUGUCUACCACAUUGUUGCCAACAUUUGGUUCUAAUCAGUCCUUUUAAUUUUGGUGGUAGUGUGGCGGUAUCACAUUUUUGGUUUUCAUUUGCAUUUUCCUGAUCAAAUGACAUUGAGCACCUUUUCAUCUGCACAUGGGUCAUUUGAAUAUCCUCUUCUGUUAAAUGCCAACUUCAAGUGUUUUCCCAUUUGUCUGUUGAAUUCUUAGUCUUUUGAUUUGUAGGUCUUUGUGUAUUUGGAUGAGGCCCUUGUCAUGACAGGGAGGGAGGGAGUUCUCUUCUCAGUCUGUCACCUCCCUUUUGACUCUAUGAAUGUUGUCUUUUGAUGAAGAGUUCUUAAUUUUAAUGGAAUCCAAUUUAUUAAAUAUUUCUCUUGUUUAGUGGUUUUUACAUCUUGUUUUAAAAAUGUUUGCCUACCUAACGUUGUAGAGAUACCGUCUGUGGUUUUGUUUUGUUUUGUUUUGGUUUGGUUUGGUUUGGUUUGGUUUCUGGUAGGAUAUUGCUUUAACAAUCAUAUAUACAUGUCUAUGUUUUUAAAAAAAUUUUUUUGGUAUACUGUGAAAUAGAGUGUGAAAUAAAGGAUCAAUGAACCUUUUAUUUUAAGGGAUUUCAGUUGGCCCAACAUUAUUUAUUGAAAAGACCAUCCUUUCCUGUACUGAAUUGCGAGGACGUCUUUGUCACAAACCAAGCAGCCAUAUGAAAACCAUUUCUUAUGCCUUAUUUGUAGUUUUCUUCUGCUGCGUUUACAGGCUUUGUAUCAAAGCUAUGCUUUGAACACAUAGGUGUUCUUUACACCCUUUUUUUUUUUUUUUACAAUUUUUGUUGUAAGUUUUAAAGUAUUU
Molecule: RNA transcript, 15837 nt
Organism: Prionailurus viverrinus (fishing cat)
Lineage: Eukaryota; Metazoa; Chordata; Mammalia; Carnivora; Felidae
Gene: GDAP2
Gene name: ganglioside induced differentiation associated protein 2
Exons: 16
Source: RefSeq, a predicted model, not a curated record